Molecule: long non-coding RNA, 635 nt
Filed under: Athene cunicularia (burrowing owl)
Lineage: Eukaryota; Metazoa; Chordata; Aves; Strigiformes; Strigidae
Description: lncRNA (ENSACUG00000011023.1)
Source: RNAcentral
CACCAAGAAAAUCAAUAGAGGGAUUCUCUCAACUGUUAGGUGUGGACUGAACACUGCAGCUUCAGUUUCAUGUUUUGGAUGCUACCAGACUCAUUCUACAUGGCAACCAUCAUAACCUUCAAGGAGACCAGACAGAAGCAGUGUCACAGAGUGCAGAGAAACCAGAAGAGAGCUAGUCAAAGGAAGACACAAGACCUGAGGAUCUGCACUCUUAUUUUGCAUUUGUCCCUGGUGAAUAAACCCAGUAGAUAUGGCUACAAACAGGAGCUCCAGGGGAAGGCAGACAGAUUCUGCUGCCCAGCUCAAGGCAAAGAGUGAUCUGUGCAACCACUGACAUCCGGCGCUUUGUCUGCAGGAAGGAGGAAACUGUGCCGCUUUUCGUUGCUGCUGCUCUUUCAUUUUGAGAAAAAAGGGUUUGGACCUUUUCAUAAACAUUGUGUUUAAAGACCUGGUACUUUUGAUGAAGCCUUGAUUUUGACUGUACAAGUUUUACAUCAGUUUUUAAGCUUCCAAGGGCUAUUUAUGAUGAAUCCCAGUCAAGGGCUUAUGUUAAGGAAUUCUGGUGCUUGAUUUUUCUAAAGACUGCUCAGAUUAGGUAAAAUAUUUAAAUAAAAUUUCACAGAUGUUGCUUUCCA